Molecule: ribosomal RNA, 497 nt
Filed under: uncultured bacterium
Lineage: Bacteria
Description: partial 16S ribosomal RNA
Rfam family: Bacterial small subunit ribosomal RNA
Source: RNAcentral
GAUGAACGCUGGCGGCGUGCCUAAUACAUGCAAGUCGAGCGAACGGACGAGAAGCUUGCUUCUCUGAUGUUAGCGGCGGACGGGUGAGUAACACGUGGCUAACCUACCUAUAAGACUGGGAUAACUUCGGGAAACCGGAGCUAAUCCCGGAUAAUAUUUUGAACCGCAUGGUUCAAAAGUGAAAGACGGUCUUUCUGUCACUUAUAGAUGGAUCCGCGCUGCAUUAGCUAGUUGGUAAGGUAACGGCUUACCAAGGCAACGAUGCAUAGCCGACCUGAGAGAGUGAUCGGCCACACUGGAGCUGAGACACGGUCCAGACUCCUAGGGGAGGCAGCAGUAGGGAAUCGUCCGCAGUGGGCGAAAGCCUGAAGGGACAACGCCGCGCGAGUGAUGAAGGUCUUCGGAUCGUAAAACCCUGUUAUUGGGGAAGAACAUAUGUGUAAGUAACUGUGCACAUCUUGACGGUACCUAAUCAGAAAGCCACGGCUAACUACGUG